AGUGCAGUCCAAAGUGAAACGCUGAGCUGUUUUUUUUUUUUUUUGCUUUGUUUUUUUAAGCUGUUGUUUCUUUGUUUUUUUUCAUGAAUUUUUUUUUGUUAAUGUUAAAUUUUUUUCUAUUUAGUUUUCAAACUUUCAUGACACGGGUUCCGGGUUUGACGGGUUAACCCAGAUUUUUUUCUGGUUUUUAUUUUUAAUUAAUUUUUUCAUUUAAUUUAGUUUGUUA
Molecule: long non-coding RNA, 226 nt
Filed under: Populus trichocarpa (black cottonwood)
Lineage: Eukaryota; Viridiplantae; Streptophyta; Magnoliopsida; Malpighiales; Salicaceae
Description: long non-coding RNA (PTRI_LNC002890)
Source: RNAcentral